AACUUUUCGGAUCUAUGCAGAGAUUUUGUUAGACACCAACCCACUAUGGCUGAUUAGACUCCCAAGAUAAGUGAAGUU
This is a non-coding RNA of Schistosoma haematobium, 78 nucleotides long. Lineage: Eukaryota; Metazoa; Platyhelminthes; Trematoda; Strigeidida; Schistosomatidae. The record is from Rfam.